AAAAUGUUUUUUUAAAUAAUAAUUUUACUUAUAUUUUGUAAAUUUUGAUUAUAUACGUAAAAUAAAUAUAUUUCAGUUAAUUAUAUUUAUAUAAUUAAUUUUUCUCAAAAAAAUAUAAAGAUUUAUAGUAGAUUAUAUAGUUAGGUUUGGUUUGUUGAAAUUUAAACUAGAUUAAAAACAUAAAUUGUAUUGAUUAAUAAGUAAAAAUAAAAAAUUAUAUAGCGAUUAUUUAAAGUACAUAUAUGUGUGUUGUAUAUAUAUAUAUAUAUAUAUAUAUAUUUAAUAAUAUAUAAAAAAAAU
RNAcentral lists this long non-coding RNA (300 nucleotides) under Ananas comosus (pineapple). RNAcentral describes it as "long non-coding RNA (ACOM_LNC041309)". Lineage: Eukaryota; Viridiplantae; Streptophyta; Magnoliopsida; Poales; Bromeliaceae. The record is from RNAcentral.